RNAcentral lists this non-coding RNA (46 nucleotides) under Trichobilharzia regenti. The record is from RNAcentral. Lineage: Eukaryota; Metazoa; Platyhelminthes; Trematoda; Strigeidida; Schistosomatidae.
GUAUUGAUGAAGAGUCCCAAACUAAGACGAAACAGCUGUCCAGUAC